ACCGGCGCACGGGUGAGUAACACGUAUGCAACCUACCCCCUGCAGGGGAAUAACCCGGAGAAAUCCGGACUAAUACCACACGGCACUUUCGGGAGGCAUCUUCUGAGGGUUAAAGGAGCGAUCCGGCCGGGGAUGGGCAUGCGGCGCAUUAGCUAGUCGGCGGGGUAACGGCCCACCGAGGCGACGAUGCGUAGGGGUUCUGAGAGGAAGGUCCCCCACACUGGUACUGAGACACGGACCAGACUCCUACGGGAGGCAGCAGUGAGGAAUAUUGGUCAAUGGGCGGGAGCCUGAACCAGCCAAGUCGCGUGAGGGACGACGGUCCUAUGGAUUGUAAACCUCUUUUGUCGGGGAACAAAGGCGCCCACGGGUGGGCGGAUGANUGUACCCGAAGAAAAAGCAUCGGCUAACUCCGUGCCAGCAGCCGCGGUAAUACGGAGGAUGCGAGCGUUAUCCGGAUUUAUUGGGUUUAAAGGGUGCGUAGGCGGACGGUCAAGUCAGCGGUAAAAAUGCGGUGCUCAACGCCGUACAGCCGUUGAAACUGGCAGUCUUGAGUGGGCGAGAAGUAUGCGGAAUGCGUGGUGUAGCGGUGAAAUGCAUAGAUAUCACGCANAACUCCGAUUGCGAAGGCAGCAUACCGGCNCCCGACUGACGCUNANGCACGAAAGCGUGGNUAUCGAACAGGAUUANAUACCCUGGUA
RNAcentral lists this ribosomal RNA (701 nucleotides) under uncultured bacterium. RNAcentral describes it as "bacterial SSU rRNA". It matches the Rfam family "Bacterial small subunit ribosomal RNA", at positions 94 to 792 of the family's 1533-position model. The record is from RNAcentral.